CGCUUUCUCUCUAUCUUUAUUUCUCAUUUUUCCUUCCUUAUUUUGUGUUCUUUCUCCUCUCCCUUCACUUUUUUCUCUCUAUAGUCUUCCUUCAUAUUCCCUUCCUUCUUUUUUUCCUAUUCUUCCUCUUUCCUACCCAGCUCUCUUUCUCUUUCUCUCUUGCAUUUCUUUUUUCUUUUCAUUUCUAGCUCCCUCCUUUCAUUCAUUUGCUUUCUCUAUUUUCCCUAUUUCGCUUUUCUCUAUUUUUCUUUCUUUCUUUCUCUUUUCUUCCUUUCUGCUUUUUUCUCUCAGAAAACAAACUAAUCCUGCUUCUUGGUUCUGUCCUUUAUCAGUAUUCCUCCACAUUCAUCUCUCUCCUCCUGCCCUGCUGGAGCUGCUGCCUCUGCCCCAAGCAUUGGGGCUUUCUCAAAUCUUUUCUUCAUCAGUCUUUUCUCUUUGUGGUUCUCAACUUUUCCAGUCCUUUGUGCUGUUUCCUCGACCUUCUUUCUAGCUUCCUUUGUUUCUAAAGCCUCUCUCUGCAAAAGGCAUGUGGCAUAAGACUGCCCCCUCCCCAAGUGGGGACUUCUUUCCUGUGGCAGCACAGCUGUCCUCUCUCAACUGCCCUCAACUUGGGGGUCAAUUUCAAGGACCCAGAAAUGGGGCUGUUCCCCCAGCUUGAGAAGUCGGGGCUGGGUCCACAGCUCCCCCUACACGCUUAGGGGAGCCUUGCCAAGCUGCUGACUGUUAACUCCAUCAAUCCUAAUAAAAAAGAGAGAGGAGGAAGAGAAAAAAGGAAAGAGUAAAAGAGAGACAGCCCCACAGAUGUGGGGGGAGGAGUUUUGGGGAGCCAGGGGCAGAAAGGGCUGGAUUCACCCAACAGGGAGGGGACAGAGCCCAGAACCAAGCACCUUCGCUCAGCGCACACAGAGCCUCGGCAAAGAAGCCCCAGUUGGCUCCCAGGUUAACUCCGGGAUUGGGGUGGGGUGAGACCUUCUAUCCAACUGCUCUGGGCUGGAGAGGUGGGCAAGGCCAAGGGAUGCUAGUAGAGAAAAGGGCUUAAACUUGAGUAUCAGUCGCCUUCACGUCCGCCUCUAGGCAGUGCGAGCCGCGGGCCUCCUAAACCUCUGAGCUCGGCGGCCCAAUUCCGGCCUCCCGGAGGAGCAGGUGCGGGGGCAGUCGCUGGGUUACCGGCGGAGAACCCUCGGGCGCAGCGAAAACAAAGCCCUGGGCGGUUUUGCCGCUCCUGACCCAGCAGGGCCGAGAGGCCUCUGGAGGUGCGGGCCGGGUAGGGACCAGACACCACGCGCUCGGCGCGGGAAUAUUCUCUCCUGGGAUCCACAGCCACACCGGGCCCUUUCCACAAGGCGGUCCAAACGCGCCGGCCGCGCCCGCCCGGCUCCGCGGGUCCGGACCGCAAACCUCAGGCGCAGCGGAGACCCUCGGCCCAGGCUCGACCUCCCCUUCCGGGGACCCCACGGGGCUCAAGAGUUCCCCCGGGCCCGCCAGUGCACCUGCAACGGCCUCCGCCCUCAUCCUCUUCCCCAGGGCCCCCAGCACCCGCCCUGGCCUGCCCACUCUCUCCAGGGGCCUCCAAGUUCAGCCGCGCCCUGCCCUUGACUCCCCUUCAAGGAGGCUCCUCUAGCUGUUCCUCCCGGGACUCCUCUUGGGAGGGGACAAUCUCAGCCCUGGGACGGGCUAGGGGGCUCUUUUCCUUGUCCUCCUGUAGGAGCUGGAGAAAGUAGGAAGGUCGUGCUGGGGCGGGGGAGGGCACUCCCUGAUUCCAUCGUAGAGUAAUGGGUCUCUGAGUCAAAUUUGAUUUAAAAGAAGAAAUUUGGGAGUUUUCCCUCUCUCCUGUCACUCCUAACUUAAAGUCAGCCAAAAUCAGGCUUUCCCGGGCUGAGAGUCUGAGGCAGUACCCCGCCCCCCGCCCCUGGAGGAGUCGGAAACUGCCAUUUUCGGCUAGCACUUCUCUCCCUUUCCGCAGCAACCCCUUUCGGGAUCUCCAAGCGUCUCUAAGCGCUCGCUGGAGCGAGCAGGUUGGGGACAGGCGGGGUUUUCUCCUGGGUAAUCAGCCCCGGUGGGAAAUCAGCCUUCCUUCAGUGUAGCGAGCUGAGCGCCCCUCCCGCCGCUGAAACCUCAAAACCCAACUCUGAGUGCUCCCUUCUCCAUCCUCCUUCCAACAACUUUUCUGAAGUUCCCGCAAGUUGCGUUUGGGGAAAGAAGUAAUCACCCUUAGCCUCUCAGGGUCUCUAGGCCCCCCAUUUCUCCUGUCCUCACAGUUUCAGAAGUAACGCUUCUCCUGACCCUGCCAGCUGCCACCGUAGUCCCCACACUCAGGGCAGGACAGCUGCUCUGGCCCCACGCCUCCGACAGACGGCCACCCCCAGUCAGAUUCCCCCGAGGGUGGGCAGACCCGCGUCUGCCUGCGGGGGGAACUGGAUGGAGUGAGAAGGAGAGCGAGAGACACAGAGACGGGCAGAGACAUUAUUUCCAGGCUCAAGCGCGCCCCUCCCGGGCCCCGCUCACCUGCUCUGGACGGGCUCCUCUUGAUUUUGAUCCACUUAAAAGUUUGUCCUUCUCUCAAGCGGUCCUAGGAGAGGCGCAAACUCCGCAGUCGGGGUGUGGGGGGCGCCCCCUGAGGGCGCAGGCGCCUGAUCCAGAGCGAGCGCCCGGGAAGCAGGACUCGGGAGCACCCUCCCCAAAGUGCCGGCCGAAGCAGUGAUCCGGAGAGAGGACUUCCAAGUGCCCGGGUCAAAGGGCCAGGCUGCUAGCCCAGGGACGCCCGGGGCAGAGUGGGCGCUAUAGAGGGAGUGGCCAGCGGGGCCGCUGGGCCUGGGGAACUGGAAGGAGAGGGCCCUGGGUCCCCGGCGACGUCUGGCGCUUGCUCCAGUUUGUGACCUCCCCAGUGUGUCCCAGCCCACAACAUUCCCUCGACCCCUUCUGGGGAGGCACUCAGGGCUCGGACAGUCAGAGAGGGAGGGGAUGGGGCGAAGAGACCCCCCUUCUCUUUAGCCCCUCCCCAGCCCCCGCGCCACCGCUCCCCCUGUUCGCUGCCCAGAGCCAAGGGACAGACGGAGAAUUGCAACUAGAAAUUCGAUCGAUUGGUACGAGGGACCACGUGGUCUGGGGUUGGCCAAUGACCAGGCCGCCCGGGAUGAGCUAAUAAUGGAAGCAAUUUGUAACUUUCAGUAGCUCUCUAGGCCUGGGUACAAGAGGGAAGGAGGCGGGCGGAGGUGGGGACAUGGGUACCCCCAGUCCUUCCACCCUCCUCAUUCGUCUAGGGGCACCCAGAACCCCAAUCCUCUUUUCCCCAACACGCAGCCACUCGCAGGGUCUCUGGCCCACUUCUGUCCGGCGGCUGCCGCUCCGAGCAAGGUGGAGCUGGCAGAGAUGGGGGACCCCAUUUUGGUUUCUGGCUUUGGUUUUGCACGGACACAAAGGAAGAGAGAAAGCUGGCUGGGGACUCAUCGCUUCUGGUCAGGGAGCUUUGGUUUAGGAGAGUUCGGGGUAAAUCCUGGCUCUGAGGACAUUCUUUUUAGCUUUAUUGUGUGCCCCCACAUACCUGACCUCCUUCCAGAGGUGGGAGAAACAGAGAUCCAAAGAGAUGAAGUGACAUGCCAGAAUCAUAAAGCUAGAAAGUGACGAAGCUGGGAUUUGAACUCUGAUCUGCCUGAUAACAAACCUUAACCCCUUGCCCUACCCACUUUCUGAAAGGGGAGGUGGAACUUUCUGAGGGGAGAGAGGCAGGACACACAUGUAAAGUUGGGACAAGGAUGAGACCAGGACCAUGGGGCAGCU
RNAcentral lists this long non-coding RNA (3777 nucleotides) under Equus caballus (horse). Its description in RNAcentral is "lncRNA (ENSECAG00000050554.1)". The record is from RNAcentral. Lineage: Eukaryota; Metazoa; Chordata; Mammalia; Perissodactyla; Equidae.